RNAcentral lists this ribosomal RNA (253 nucleotides) under uncultured bacterium. Its description in RNAcentral is "partial 16S ribosomal RNA". It matches the Rfam family "Bacterial small subunit ribosomal RNA", at positions 524 to 776 of the family's 1533-position model. The record is from RNAcentral.
UACGAAGGGGGCGAGCGUUGUUCGGAUUUACUGGGCGUAAAGGGCGCGCAGGCGGCUCGUUUUGUCAGGCGUGAAAUCCCCGGGCUUAACCUGGGAAUUGCGUUUGAUACGGACGGGCUAGAGUUCGGGAGAGGAGAGUGGAAUUCCCAGUGUAGAGGUGAAAUUCGUAGAUAUUGGGAAGAACACCGGUGGCGAAGGCGGCUCUCUGGACCGAGACUGACGCUGAGGCGCGAAAGCGUGGGGAGCAAACGGG